CCUCGGGGGGCUGCAGUGGGGAAUAUUGGACAAUGGGCGAGAGCCUGAUCCAGCCAUGCCGCGUGUGUGAAGAAGGCCUUCGGGUUGUAAAGCACUUUCAGUGGGGAAGAAAGCCUUGGGGCUAAUACCCUCGAGGAAGGACAUCACCCACAGAAGAAGCACCGGCUAACUCCGUGCCAGCAGCCGCGGUAAUACGGAGGGUGCGAGCGUUAAUCGGAAUUACUGGGCGUAAAGCGCGCGUAGGCGGUCUGAUAAGCCGGUUGUGAAAGCCCCGGGCUCAACCUGGGAACGGCAUCCGGAACUGUCAGGCUAGAGUGCAGGAGAGGAAGGUAGAAUUCCCGGUGUAGCGGUGAAAUGCGUAGAGAUCGGGAGGAAUACCAGUGGCGAAGGCGGCCUUCUGGACUGACACUGACGCUGAGGUGCGAAAGCGUGGGUAGCAAACAGGAUUAGAUACCCGAGUAGUC
Molecule: ribosomal RNA, 464 nt
Filed under: Vreelandella stevensii
Lineage: Bacteria; Pseudomonadati; Pseudomonadota; Gammaproteobacteria; Oceanospirillales; Halomonadaceae
Description: partial 16S ribosomal RNA
Rfam family: Bacterial small subunit ribosomal RNA
Source: RNAcentral